RNAcentral lists this ribosomal RNA (446 nucleotides) under uncultured bacterium. RNAcentral describes it as "SSU rRNA". It matches the Rfam family "Bacterial small subunit ribosomal RNA", at positions 26 to 518 of the family's 1533-position model. The record is from RNAcentral.
AGAACGAACGCUGGCGGCAGGCCUAACACAUGCAAGUCGAACGCCCUAGCAAUAGGGAGUGGCAGACGGGUGAGUAACGCGUGGGAAUCUACCUUGUGGUACGGAACAACCAAGGGAAACUUUGGCUAAUACCGUAUGAGCCCUUCGGGGGAAAGAUUUAUCGCCAUAAGAUGAGCCCGCGUAGGAUUAGCUAGUUGGUGAGGUAAUGGCUCACCAAGGCGACGAUCCUUAGCUGGUCUGAGAGGAUGACCAGCCACACUGGGACUGAGACACGGCCCAGACUCCUACGGGAGGCAGCAGUGGGGAAUAUUGGACAAUGGGCGCAAGCCUGAUCCAGCCAUGCCGCGUGUGUGAUGAAGGCCUUAGGGUUGUAAAGCACUUUCGCCGAUGAAGAUAAUGACUGUAGUCGGAGAAGAAGCCCCGGCUAACUUCGUGCCAGCAGCCGC